CUUCGUAGUCCGGAUUGGAGUCUGCAACUCGACUCCAUGAAGUCGGAAUCGCUAGUAAUCGCGAAUCAGCAUGUCGCGGUGAAUACGUUCUCGGGUCUUGUACACACCGCCCGUCAUACCAUGGAAGCGGAUUGCACCAGAAGUAGAUAGUCUAACCUUAGGGAGGGCGUUUACCACGGUGUGCUUCAUGACUGGGGUAAAGUCGUAACAAGGUAGCCGUAGGGGAACCUGUGGCUGGAUCACCUCCUU
Molecule: ribosomal RNA, 249 nt
Filed under: uncultured SAR86 cluster bacterium
Lineage: Bacteria; Pseudomonadati; Pseudomonadota; Gammaproteobacteria
Description: partial 16S ribosomal RNA
Rfam family: Bacterial small subunit ribosomal RNA
Source: RNAcentral